AAGCAAAGAAGUAAAAUUUACACUUAGUUUCGACCUAAAUAUAGAGAAUUAAACUCCGUGCUUU
Molecule: transfer RNA, 64 nt
Filed under: Metrocoris sp. XD-2019
Lineage: Eukaryota; Metazoa; Arthropoda; Insecta; Hemiptera; Gerridae
Description: tRNA-Arg
Source: RNAcentral